This 466-nucleotide ribosomal RNA is filed under the name uncultured Alphaproteobacteria bacterium. Its description in RNAcentral is "bacterial SSU rRNA". It matches the Rfam family "Bacterial small subunit ribosomal RNA", at positions 9 to 521 of the family's 1533-position model. Lineage: Bacteria; Pseudomonadati; Pseudomonadota; Alphaproteobacteria. The record is from RNAcentral.
GAGUUUGAUCAUGGCUCAGAAUCAACGCUGGCGGCAUGCCUAACACAUGCAAGUCGAACGAUCUCUUCGGAGAUAGUGGCGCACGGGUGCGUAACGCGUGGGAAUCUGCCCUUGGGUUCGGAAUAACUUCGGGAAACUGAAGCUAAUACCGGAUGAUGACGUAAGUCCAAAGAUUUAUCGCCCAAGGAUGAGCCCGCGUAGGAUUAGCUAGUUGGUGGGGUAAAGGCUCACCAAGGCGACGAUCCUUAGCUGGUCUGAGAGGAUGAUCAGCCACACUGGGACUGAGACACGGCCCAGACUCCUACGGGAGGCAGCAGUGGGGAAUAUUGGACAAUGGGCGAAAGCCUGAUCCAGCAAUGCCGCGUGAGUGAUGAAGGCCUUAGGGUUGUAAAGCUCUUUUACCCGGGAUGAUAAUGACAGUACCGGGAGAAUAAGCUCCGGCUAACUCCGUGCCAGCAGCCGCCGU